Long non-coding RNA from Amphiprion ocellaris (clown anemonefish), 8745 nucleotides. RefSeq lists it as uncharacterized. The record is from RefSeq and is a predicted model, not a curated record. The transcript has 2 exons. Lineage: Eukaryota; Metazoa; Chordata; Actinopteri; Pomacentridae.
UAGUUCCUUUUAGAGUGAGAAAUACAAAGAUAUGCUAAAGUAAAUUUACAAAUAGGAACAUACCUUUUCUUACAAGCACAUACACACACACCCUUACUGUUGAAAGUUGACUUAUGUACUCACCUCAGCUGUGUUAUCCCAUGCUAGGUAACAAUGUUCCAUUUAUGGGAGUGUAAGUGUAAAAUCAAAAGGCUAAUUCAGCUCAAAAGCCCUUUUGGUGUGCUGAAAAUUCAGUGGGUAAGGUAAUGCAGGCUAGUAGCUGUCAGGACACAUUGCUUUUCAUUCAAAGAGAGGCCAUUCUCCUGUUUUUUUAAAAAAAAUUCAUGCAUCAUUUGCAACUGACUUUGCAAAUUCUUUCACGAGUAAAGUUGAUUUGUCUUUAUUUAAAACUUUUAUUUAAUUUUAACAUAUCUGAAGAUUUUCGUUGCACAGGUGCCACAAAACUCAAAGGUUGUAUUUAGGACUAAGAGACUAACUUCAAAGGAAUUUCCAGUGCAGGUUAUAUUUAAUGGUGGACUUGACGUGUCACAAAUGUAGCUCUAGUUAAUCAUUUUUUGUGUCACAAAGUCAUUCCUGCAUACAGUGAUGACAAUAAACACCAAGACCAAUACUGAAGAAAAUAUGUGUGACGAUUUCAUUAAUUUUACAGCAGUUAUACACAAACAACAAUUUAUUUGACACAUUUUCAUAAGAUUUUAUUUGCAGCAGCUACGGCUAUCAUGAAUGAAACACCACGUUGUGUGAAACCUUAACAGCUGUGUUUUCAUUCUUCUGUGACAAACUUGCUUUUUUAAAGUGAGGGAAAUCACAGAGCUCACCUGGUAAAGACACAAAUCCAAAGCAAUUCUAACUAAUCUCCCCCUACGUAGCUUUAAUGCCACUAAACCGUGCAUUAUACUUUAUUUGAAGCAUUUAUUGCACAUCUCGUAUAUAAUGCCACAAGAGAGCAGGCGCAUUUGUCACAGUUAAAAGUUGAAACAAAAAAUAAACUAUAGAAGAAAAGGCACCGGUGAACUGAAUAGCAGGUUUAGCCUAAAUUAAAGUUUGCCACAUUUGAACAUGAGCUAUAUGACACGAGCGUUGAGGGAUCAAAAACAGCUCAGCUGAACAUAACCAUAAUGUGGCUGUUUUAGAAAAAGCAUAUUACAAGCAUGAUGCUAGACACGAGAGAUGUAUAUUUUUGAUUAAAAAAUAUAAUGUAAUAUUUGAAAUAAUAAAGGGUAGUAAAGACUUUCCUUGGAGAUAAAAAUUAUCUUAUCUUACCUUCGAACACUGGAUUAAUGGCAUUUAUAUAAAUACCCUGUUGGCUGCAGGUUUGAAUUUGGUUUCACUUUUACCAAAAAAAGGAAGGUUAUUAUACAGUGUUCUCCAACUCAAUGACAGCCACCAGACAUAUAGAUUCUGUGUGUAUAAGCAUCCAAAACAGGUUUGCGUAAAAUGCAGAGGGAAAGCAGCUAUAUAGAGAUAUAGAAUCUACUUGUGCAAGCAGUGAAAUGAAUAUCAUGGACUCUCCCUCAUGAUAAAGUAUUUUUCAAGGUCUGUCUGGAGGAGGACAUAACUGUAGAGCCCACACUCCUGAGCAUGCAGUUGUAAUGUCUAACAACUCCCUCCAUUUCUCAUAUUCAGCUAAUUUGAGUCUUUCCGUCUCGCUGUGGUGCUGUGUGCUCUAUACAUCUUCACCCACCAUCCCCUCACAUUUUCACUCUGCGCACUCUCACUGGAGGACCUAUACACUCUCAGAUAAGAGGAAAUGAAGUCUCGUCGGCACAAUUUGAAGCGCUGCUUUGAAGCUGAAUGCGAAAUAGCAGCUCUGCUCCUCUCUGCUCCUCUCUGGCUGGUAAAAUAAGGGCCCUCUCGUUAAAAGCACUUUACCUGUGCUCCCUCUAUGGAUCAUUGCUCUCAUUAAACAGAUUUGGGGUUACAUUCAAAUCACAAUUACUCCAAGCACUAACUGUUAAUGGGCACAAGGGUUGAAAGAGUAAGAGAAAUGUUUCUGACAUUUCUUUUUAUAUCUCUCUUUGAGCCACGAUGAGAACACAUCAAAAGGUGUAAGGUGAAGCAUAAACUAACCUAAACCAGAAUGAGGAUUCAUUUCAAAGAUGUGCAAUAUUGAACUGUACCUGAAAUCACAGCCAAAAAAUUUAAACUUUACGUUAGAUUUUAAUCUUAUUGUGAGCUGGGAACACUUUCUUAUAUAAUGGGUUUGUGUUUAAAAUAGAGAAAUAAAUUUUCUCCAGACUGAACUAGUAACUGGAGCACAUUUUUGCCCUUCUGUGACCUUUUAGUACUUACUGAGUGACUUUUUCUUGAAUAUGUAGUGCACAUUACGUGGAGUCUAAGCAAGUGUGUGUGUGUGUGUGUGUGUGUGUGUGUGUGUGUGUGUAUGUGUGUGUGUGUGUGUGUUUAUCUGGGGAGUGUUGUAAAUGUACCAGACUGUUGAGAACACCCCCUGGGUCCUCCUGCACAAUGUCAAGAAGAGUGCAGGCAAGAUACUUUCAUCUGUUCACCACAGAGAUCCUGCUGGGUGUAUGUGUGUGUGUAUGUGUAUGUGUGUGUAUAUGUAAGGGCCUGUAUUUGUGUGUGUGGUAAAGGAGGUAGAUAUGUCACCUUUGGCAUUGCAACACAGACAGUAAACAGUUUUUGUGUCGCAGAUACAGUAACUAUUCCCUAAUUUGACACUUGAUUAUAAAGAUUUUACAAUAUUUAAGUAACUGUUUGAACUUUGCAUCAAGUACUCCUCAGAUAAAAAUAAACCUCUUUAAACCUCACACACUUAUUGCUUCCUCUGAGAGUUUCUUUAAUUUAGCAACCUGCUGACUGCCUCAGGAAAAGAGACUCGCAUCAAGUUUUUCAUUAAUGACCAAAAGAAACCAGGAUGCGGAUGCUUUAUUAUGAUGCACGGGUGUGUGUUUAAGGAAAACAGAACACACACUAAGUUCACGGGUUUUUUUGUUUUUUUUUUGCAAUUUGAGCAUAUUAGUGAGCAUUUAUAUGAUUUUCACCUCACUGCUUCUACGUUGCAUGUAUUUGUGUGUGGUUUUGCCGUAUGAGCGAGGGCCUCUCCUGGUGACUGCCUAGGGCAAUAGCACAGGAUGUAAUCCCGUGUAUGCCUCCAGUCUCUUAGCUGCCUGCGUAGAUGUGGAGGAACGUUUUAGCCCCUGCAGUGUGCCGUAGGGCACAAGUGCUCUCCCUCCCGUACUGCUAACAGACAGCAGCUGGCUGGUGCAGCGCCACAGUUUCUUCUGAGCUCUCACCAUAUGUGUGUGACUCUUUCUGCACUCUGUAUCUGUGUGGCACGGUUCAAUUUGCAGCAAUGAGAGAUGCCUUAAGGAGGGAGAAAUUGACUUUUGACAGCCAUUAUAUUAAAGUAUGCACACUUUCACAAAUUUGUAUCAGUGUCUGGAGGUGAAGAGCACUCUCUUGCCUGAAAAUCAAAUCAUCUACUUAAUGUACAGCCUUAUCUUGAUUGACAGUUGGUUGUGCAAAAUCCGAGAAAUAUAGUAAGUAAAAUAUACUUAUAGAGAAGCCAAAUGUCAUGCAGGCAUCUAUAGUGCUUAAUUCAGGCCCCACAAUGAGCAAUCAAAUUUCAUUUGACAAAUGAAUUCAAGGAAACAGUCUGACAUGAAUAGCUUUGUUCAGUAGGUGCAUAGAAAUCGCAUCACUUAAAAUAAACAUCAAAGGAAAUUAUCCAACCUACUACUGUGUUCUUGAAAUGGCUAAGAUAGAUUUUUUGGGGAAAAAAACUAACCCUCUAGGUUUGCCCUAAAUGCAUUCUUUUGUUGUACUUCACCAACUUUUGGAGUUAACAAGUGGCAAUCCGAGCCCUAAGUACCAGCAUAUGUGUGGAGUAUUCUGAGAAACUCUCCUUGGUGACUCAUGCAACACACAGUCAUAUGGUUGGCCUGGUAAACAUGCUGUGUGCAGUUUGCUGUAAUAUGACUAAUAACCACAAAUAUGUCACAACAGUUUUGUACUUUUUGACGCUGAAGCUCAUCAUCUGUUUCACCAUUACUGACUGUAAGUGCCUUCACCCUGAUCAAAACAAUAUAAUCAUCCAGUACUGCCAAGGUGGUGUUAAUCUGCCAAAUUUAGAAGAUGGAAGAAUUGCAUUGAAUUUGUACCAUCAUAGAUGGUUUUACCACUUUAUGUGAAACCUUUUAUAUCCUAUCACUUUUGUGUCUGUAUCCCCCUCCUUUUAUCUGCUUUAUUACGAUCAUGGCCUGACCUCCUGUGGCGUUUAUUGAGAGUUCUGAUGAGGUUCUUGAGGAAGGCUGGAGGAGUGACAGGUGGUCUUCAUGAUAACUAUCCAUCUACGGCCUUCGAUCUCACCAUGGUGCAACCCUCAAUCACUGAUCUCAUCUCUGAUGUCCACAGUUGCAACAGAACACAGCAGAAAGGUAGAUCAAUAGAUAUCAUAAUCGAUAGGUCAGAAUGAGAAAUCACUGGAAAGGUCAGCGCCAGUCGAUUCCCACAUUAUUGCACUGCAACCUCUGUGCUGUUGUGUGUUGUUGAGGGGUGGCCAUUAACUAGGAAACCCUGCAGGAUACCAGCACCCCUGUCUCGUUUUAAUAACAUCAACUAAUCCUAAUUAUUAGUUCUGCUCUGGCUGAAGGGGCAGACGAUGACAUUUUCUUCAUCUGUGUGUGAUGUGUUAUGUUACAAUAUCUGCCCAGCUCUCACACCCCUGACCUGUCUCCCUGUGACAGUUCCUCGUUAGGAGAAAGUCAGCUCGCCCCCUGCUGCAUGUAGCUGCUGCCAUACAACCAUCAUUAGUGACUGACAGCGGUGUAUGCGGUUGCCACUCUGUAAGGUUCUCUGUCCAGCGUUCUUGAACUCCAGGAGGCUGUCCAGGAGCUUUCUGGGCUCCAGAUCACAAAUCUUACACCCCUCAGCUCAGAGCAAGGCUGGUCCACCGUAGAGCUUAGCAGGACAUCCACCUGAGUUCUCAACUCUGCAGGGGGACAGGACAGGGCCAAAUCUGAUUUUCACCUCUGCCUAGACUGGUGUGAAGCUAUGAUGGAGUUUUGACUGGCUUGAGAGAUGCAGUGUCAUGGGGGUGAUGAAAUGGAUGUUAGGAGUAAGCUUAGGUAAAGUACUGUAUCUCAUGGAAUGCAGGCAUGUGUAUUUUGAAGACAUUAGUGAUAGAGGUGUGACCAGUUCCCAAUAAAACUCCCUGCCUACUUUUGUUCAUCAGAGGGUCAUGCAUCACACUAAAGAAGAGCAAAAAUGGAAUUUUCUUUAAUCAACUGUGAAUUAGUGUGGGAAUUAAAUUAAAAGAAUUUACAAUACAAACUGAACAAAUUGAAAACCAGACACUGACAUGCAGCUACACAGCUCCUUUUGACCCUCUAAACCCGUUUUGUCCAGCACUCCUUCCUUGAAAUGGCAUUAGCAUAAAUCUCCAGUCCAUAGAGGUAAUGAUGGCGUGAAAUUAUGGCUGCCUCAGCAGACCUUAUUCCCCUCCCUGCUCUCCCUCCCUCUGGGUCCAAGGCCUCAGCCUUCGACUGAAACUGUCUCCCAUGCCUUCUUUCUCUCCGUCCUCUCUCUCUCUUCUUCUUUGCCUUCCAGUUCCAUUCAAAGGGAAUGUGUAACUGAAUUUGAAAUUGAGUGCCCUUCUUUCAAGGACCACGGCUAAUGAGACGUUUUGCCUUGAAAUCUAGGCUGGACGGGGAGACCCUGAUGGGCAAGACCUGGAGAUGAUAGCCACCCUGUGCGUCAGGUGUAAGGCUGUCCGGAUCUCUCACCACUGAGAAGGGGAAGGUGGUUUCUAUAGAGAGGCUGGGGGCCCCGGCGUUCAGGGGCCAGUUUCCCUCGGGACCACUCUAAAGGACUGCGGUGACCUUCCGACCUCCUCCUCCGGCAGGUCACAGCGAGAGGUCAGCGGGUGUUUGAAGCAACAGGGUAUCAAUGUGUGACCUUCUCGCAAACAAACGGGAUCAAACAACAAAUUUACUCCCUGAACAUGGCGAUGUUUUGAAAUUUGCUCGGAGGAUUGACAAGAUUCCAAAUUUUAUGGAAAUUACCUCAUUCGUGGUUAUUUAGUUUCUGAAUUUGCAAACAAAAUAUGAUAUCCAGGAAGCUUUUCCAAGCCUUGCUCAAGUUUGUUUUAGAAGCACACAGUGGGAAUGGUGCAACUUUCUAGUCAUUAAAUUGAAUAUAUACAUAGUGUGAUGAAUGUUUUUUGUUUUUCUUUAUCAGGUCAAAUCAAGCGGAGGAUCAUUGUAAAAAUAAUUAAAAUAAUAUAGCAAACUCAAGAUACAGUCAGAUUGAUGUUAUUGUUGGAAGUGCUUCAAUAUCACACAACAUGCCAUGAAAAUGAAACACAACUCAGUGGUCUAUGAUUGUUAAUGUUUUUUAAAUGUUUUCAAACAUUUCUACUCCCACAUGAAAUAUUACCACAAACAGAGUGCCUGAUUAUGAAUAUGAUCUGAACUGGUGUGGAAGGAAACUAUGCAGAAGCCAUUCACCGUAUUUAAGGUACAACCUAAUUGACAGGCUUUAAAAUAAAUUCCUCCCUUUAUCCAGAGCAAUGUUCAGAAUUUGCCGACUUCAUUCCAAUAACUUUCACAGUUCCUGGAAACAGAGCCGAGUUACAUUGUCUUAAUUAGGAACAUAGGCUGGCUUUACAGCAAUGUGUGGGAGGACCUGGAGGUUGAAGUGCUCUGUGAAUGCAAUGUGCAUCAUCACCCUAAUAAAAUAUAACACUGAAAAUUAACUCUGUUCGACCUGAGGCACGCAGAACAACAGGGUCCAUGGAGGAAAAUGAGGCGGGUUUCUGUUUGUGUGUAUGCAUGUAGAUCUGUGCGUGUUUGUAUAAAUGCAUUUGUGAGUGUUGAACCACAAAGGAAGCAAUUAUGGGGGGAAUUUUUUUUUUUUUUUUUUUUUUACUGUAUUAAUUCUUUUAUUGGAGUGGAAAGGAGAAAAUCCCAGAGAAGAAAAUGAUGUGAUGUAGACUGUGGCUCCUUUGUCCUUUUUUGAGCACCACAUUCGCCAAAGUGCAUCAAAGUGUCAGCAACUCAAACAUGAAAAAUGGAUGAAGACUAUGGUGCAUUUCUCACAAUUUUUCUAAUAAACUGUCAAUCAAACUGCUGCAUGAAUGACACUAAUAUCAUAUGAUGCAGCAUUCCAUAUCAAAGAUCUCAUCGAUGCUCAUUCCCCCCUUUGGCUGAGUCUGAGGCCUGUCCUCCCCUCGUAUUAUCACCAUCAUCAUUUGGACAUGAAAGGAGGGAAACAAGUGCUGCACCAUUGCCAAGGAGAAACCUUGAUCUCAGAGCAUUUGCAUUCGCCACCUUGUUCCACUGGAUGUAUGAACGAGUUACUAAGGUGCUCUCUGAUUGGUCGGUGCUGAAUAGCAGGCAUUCUGCUAAUGCUCAAAACAAGCAGUGCUCUCCCCCCUCCUCCUCCACUCACUGUCACACUCAGUUGGUGGCACUAGAGGGCAGCCCACUCUGUUAGUUGUUAUUGUUUAGGAGCCAUCUACAGUACAAUUUGCAUUAAGGGACAUAGAGCUGUUUUUUUUUUUUUUUUUUUUAAAGAAUAUAUAAUUCAUUUUAAUUAAUUCCUUGAAAGAUAUUACUUCUUCUGUGAGCUUAAUGCUCCAGUUUUCCAACACCAAACAUUAAGCUUUUACAAAUUAAUUUGGAAUAUGCCAUUAAGCUUUAACUAAGGAGUUUUUCCAGCAAAUCGUGGAUUACAUAUACAAGACAUGAAAUAUGAAAUUCACUUGUCCUCAGCAAAGAAGUGUAAAAGUGAAUUAAAAUGCAAUCUUACGAUACAAUAUGAGCUAAUUCAUAAUAAUAUAUCUGGUAGCCGCCGUUAAAAAACAGGCUGUUUUAAAAUUACUAAUGGGCAGACCGCUGAUCUUGAAGUCGCUUGAAUGAUGAGCUGCACUCUCACCACGAUGCAUUUCAGUUUAAUUCUCAAAUAUCUCUCAAAUAUACUGAGAAUCUGCAUUAGAAAUAAUAGCACUAAAAAUAAACUAUGCUAACCGGCAAAAAGGGGGUUCACUGUUAAUUUACUUUACGAUUCAAAGAGAAGCAAUUCAUUUAAGCACCUAAUGCGUGUGCACAGACACACACACACACACACACUCAUACACACUGCUGAAGCAGCUAUACUGUGUGUGUGUGUGUGUGUGUGUGUGUGUGUGUGUGCUAUAGUUCCUAUCAGGAGGCUGCUAAUUAAAGGCCUACAACAAUGAAGCAUGGAAACCCCAAAGGAACAAUGUUCAUCUGAGAUAAAUUAAUGUAAGAGCAGUGGCGAUUACCACAAGGGCAGUCAGCCAUUUCAUAUUUCCAGCACAAGGCAGCGGACCUCAAAUUUUAACCAUGACAAGAUUUAAAUGGAGUUUACAUGGUGAGAGGCUUAUCACAGUUUUUUUUUUCCUCUCCAUUUUAUCCUGCUUUGCACUGGUAACCGGUGAAAGUUUAACUAAAAUUCUGCCGUAAUACGGUGAAAGCUUUAUCAAUAACAAUGAUUAUAUGUGAACAAAGACGACCAUCACUGUGUGUGUUGUUGAGGAAACAUGGACAAAGUCCUCCACAGUGCUACAUCUUAAAUGUUGUCUGCAUCUUGAUUGUCUGUGUAUUACAAAAAUUUCCUUGUCAACAGAGAAAAAACUGAAAAUCGAUACUGGAUGAUGAAUUCCUUCAUGAUUUUUCUGACACUAUUCAAACAAAAUCUUCAGUGUGGUCAAUUUGCUUCUAUUCUUUAUUGUUCGUUAUUAAACAGAACCUUCUAAAUAUA